GAUCCUGGCUCAGGAUGAACGCUGGCGGCGUGCCUAACACAUGCAAGUCGAACGGACUUUUCGUGAAGCCUAGCGAUUGAAAAGUUAGUGGCGGACGGGUGAGUAACGCGUGGGUAACCUGCCUUGUACUGGGGGACAACAGUUGGAAACGACUGCUAAUACCGCAUAAGCGCACAGCUUCGCAUGAAGCAGUGUGAAAAACUCCGGUGGUACAAGAUGGACCCGCGUCUGAUUAGCUGGUUGG
RNAcentral lists this ribosomal RNA (244 nucleotides) under uncultured bacterium. RNAcentral describes it as "partial 16S ribosomal RNA". It matches the Rfam family "Bacterial small subunit ribosomal RNA", at positions 15 to 252 of the family's 1533-position model. The record is from RNAcentral.